This is a long non-coding RNA of Scomber scombrus (Atlantic mackerel), 256 nucleotides long. RefSeq lists it as uncharacterized. The record is from RefSeq and is a predicted model, not a curated record. Lineage: Eukaryota; Metazoa; Chordata; Actinopteri; Scombriformes; Scombridae. The transcript has 3 exons.
CUAAGCUUCACAAACUGUGUUUCAAGAUUUCUGUGUUCAGGAUUUAGUGGGCGGCAUAAACCCGCCUCUGCUGCUGUAGAUGUAUAAAUACAUUCAGCGCACACUACUACUACAACAGUCUACUGAUAGCCAGUUAGCUGAGUUAGCUGCCGAACUAGCUUCUGAGUUAGCCGCCGAGCUAGCAGCUGAGUUAGCAGCAGAAAGCUCUCAGAUGUAGCGUCCAUGUUUCUGGUAGAGGUGGUGACUUUGAUUGACA